UACGUAGGGUGCGAGCGUUGUCCGGAAUUAUUGGGCGUAAAGGGCUCGUAGGCGGUUUGUCGCGUCGGGAGUGAAAACACUGGGCUUAACUCAGUGCUUGCUUCCGAUACGGGCAGACUAGAGGUAUGCAGGGGAGAACGGAAUUCCUGGUGUAGCGGUGAAAUGCGCAGAUAUCAGGAGGAACACCGGUGGCGAAGGCGGUUCUCUGGAACGGUACUGACGCUGAGACGCGAAAGCGUGGGGAGCGAACAGG
This 253-nucleotide ribosomal RNA is filed under the name uncultured bacterium. Its description in RNAcentral is "partial 16S ribosomal RNA". It matches the Rfam family "Bacterial small subunit ribosomal RNA", at positions 524 to 776 of the family's 1533-position model. The record is from RNAcentral.